AAGCAGGGUACUAAACCUACUGCAGGAGUAUGGAUAGCGUUGUUGAAUGCUUGCAGUCUCAGUCAAGAUUUUGAAAGAGGCGAGUUUGCCGCAAAGCAUCUUUUGUUGUUGGAUCCCGACAAAGCUAGCAAUAUUGUGCUUGUAUCAAACUUUUAUGCAGCCAUUGGUAGGUGGGAUUGUGUUGAUGAACUGAGAAGCAUAAUGAGGACAAAAGGGUUGGUCAAGGAAGCUGGGAAUAGCUGGAUCGGCGAGGGCUUCAAUGGACAUGCCAGGUCACUAUCUACUUGAUUGUUCAGCUAUACACCUGGAAAGUGAGAGCCUCACUCCUGUUGGGGUGAUUUGAUUUCUAGUAGAGUCAACCUGGAACUGGUUACAUGAAGAAAAGGAAGCAAGUCAACUGGUAAACGUCUGCUUCCCCAUUCCUAUAAAAUUUCUCUCUCAUUUUAUGUUUCACAUUUUAUGUAUCUCUUGAGUUUCGGUAGCAUAUUUUUGGUAUAUAUGGGCUAAGUCAAAUGAAUUUUCCGUAGGAAGAGAUUUUCUCAUGAUGGAUUUUGCUUAUGUUUUUGCUUAUGUACCUCUUUACCAACUCAGCCAUACAAGCAUCCUUGUUAUAUGAACUCAAGCACUAAUACAUAACAUGAAAAUGAACCAAACUCUUAAAUAAAGCACAGUUGAAAAACAGUAGCAGAGCUCAAACAAGUUCAUCUUAACGCACAGAAAUACUGCUUCUUUCCAUUUUCAAUAUCAAAGAUUUAACAGCAAGAUGUUAUCACAAACAAAUAGGCGGCGGUAUUACUCAAUGAAAUCAAAUCGGAACAACAACCACGGUUACUUCAGAAGAAUGCAAAGCAGAAUCGAAACAUAGAAAUAAAGCUCGGAAAGGAAGCUAACCGGUUGCGGCGAGCUCGACCGAUGAAUGCAGACAAGCGUUGCCUUCAAUUCUCUCCUUCUCUUUUCUGAAUGGUAGCCGCCAAUCCUCUCCAAAAACUAGGGUUUUUCAGCUCUUCCCCAAAAUGAACAGUGGCAUCUCUUUUAUAGUCAUAUUGCAAGAGUCUUUUGAAUUGGCCUCUGAGACCAAAGGGGUGUCGAACUUGGAAGUGCUUUUGGUGCUGCCAGUUUGUCUACCCUGUUUUGGUGCUUACUCUGAAAAAGGUAACUUGUACCUUGUACCUUCUCCUGGAAAUAUUUUGAUUCCCUUUUGUUGCUUGUUAAUUUUUACCGCCGGUAAAAAGAUAUUCACGGCUGCGAAUUCACUUGAAUAUGAUAUGUGUUGUUUGAUGCUUGCAGGAAGGAGGUGGGGAAGUAUGAUGAGCUUGGUUUACCCAAAAAUGAUGAGGAUGGCUUACUAGUCCCAAGAAGCCGAAACCAAACAUACCACCAACCUGCAAGUCACCAGAACAAACACAAAUGGUCCUGCUUCCGUAGCUUACCCGCUGCCAUAGCUUUCCUGAUGCCAUAAUGUUCCUGCUGCCAUAACAGUACGACGUCGGCUAGAAUCAAGUGCAGCAGAUCAGCAAAGCAUGGUAGAACCCAACUCCUUAUCAUUGAGUAGCUCUUUGAGAUCACUUCAAGAUGUUUCUAAGACGACCAAUGUUGCAGAAGUCUCAGCUUCAGAACCUCAUGUGCGAUCAACUGAGUUAAGGCAACAUGUUAAUUUUCCAAACUAUUUCCAUCCUUACGAGCGGUAUACUCCUUUGCUAGCAUCAACAAUGUAUGCAGCGGUUCUUGGUUCCACAUGGAAACUUAUCACUGCAUGUUAGAGCCACGUCCAUUGCAAUCAUCCAUUUCUCUUGGACUCACGGUGAUGAAUGAAUCAGGAUCCAAAUUACAACGUUGUAUAAAAGCAUCAACGGUGGCUGAAUCUUGACCAUAAUUGCUGUUGUAAUUAUUGGCGUUGUCUAUUGUUGUGUCGGGCUCGUUCGAGGCACCUUUUGAAGGCCAUCCUGAUUCUGUUACCACUAUGGCAGUGAUAUUGGUGGCCGGAAACUUUUUAUGAAGUGAACUUUGAUUGUUUAGAAGUUUCCACAGGUGAAGGGGAAAACAAGCCUGAUACAAAGGGCAUUUGGAAGCAUUAAGAAGUGCCUGGUGUUCCGCAACAACAUAAUCUUUGUACUUGGCAAGGAAAAACUCGGUUUAAUAAAUGACAUCACAAGCAUAAUGGCGUACUGUGAAGUGACUAGGUGAUAAUUUGGGCUUGUUAAAUCUCAAAAUGUAAAUUUGUAACAGUGAAAACAUUGGUCUACAUAGUUCAUGACAUCAUUUCCCUUUGUUUUUACAAUUCCAAAAUAACAUACAGAGCUCAACUUUCCUUUGCAGACCAGCUGUGACAGCAAACUUUUCGCCAAAAUCAACUUCACACUUUUGCACCAAAGAAGGACUUUACACCUGCUGGAGAGUUUCCUGGUUUAGCAGUUGUUGUACCUCCGAAAUGGAGCCUUGCUUUCUUAUUACAGUAUAAUUAAGUGCGUCAUAAAAAAUAAAAAAAAUAAAAAAAGCCUCUAAGUGCUGGCACAAUUGGAGAAACAUCGACGUCCGGUGAAAGGAAAUCAAGAACAUCGUAGUCACGAGCCAUAGCUUCGUAAUCUCGGUUAACCAAGUGAACAACAUGACCAAUUAUAGCAGAUCGCGCAUCUUCCGGUGUCUCACUCAUCAUUCCGAAGUCGAGAAAAGCAAGUCUCCCAUCAGGCGUUGCUAAAAGGUUCCCAGGAUGUGGAUCUGCAUGGAAAUAUCCNUGAGCCCACUGCUGUUAUUCUCGAACUUAGAAAACGCUUUCAGCUUGACCACCUUUCUUGCAGCAUCGGCAGUGGAAAAAUCCAGAGAUAAAUCCUGAACUUCAGAAAGCUUUCCUUCAUUGAGAACUUUGAAAAGAGCGAAACCCGCCGGCGUUUCAAAUUGUACCAGCAUUUUAACAGAUUUUGAACAAACCUUUGUUGAGACUGGUUUUGCGGUGUGCGGAGAAAAUGAAACACGACGAGCCUUGCUGUACACAGUAAAGGCAGUCUCUUUUAAAAUAACAAACUCACUCACUGAUGGACUUGUGACUCUGAAAAGGGCAUCGACUGUAACUAUCUGCAAGACCAAUUUAGGAAUACUAAACCCAGAAAGCACAGGGAUAUUAGACCCUGAAGCUUCAUCAACAGUUGCCAAGCCACUCAAUGCCUUUACAACCUGAUUGUGCAAGCUAGAUCUUCUCUCUCUAUCUGACUGUUGGAUAACUGAUCCAAUGGCCACAGAUGAUUCAAUAACAGUUUGUAAAAUUGCAGAUGGAUCCGGAAAUGGGCACACCACAUAGAUUACCAAACAGGAAUUGCUGUUGUGACUGUCCAAUCACUGCAUUGGCUUUUGCUUCAUCUAUGAUAGCAUUAUUAUCAACAUUUAAUCCGACAAGUACUUCUGCUGCAUAGUAUGAGGUAUACUUGCAGCCUGAUAUCCUUGCCGUGCGGCAUCAGGAAGACUUUGAAUUACCACUGGAUUCUGUUUCAUGGGUGAGAAAAUUAAGGUUUGAUGGAAGAUUUGUUCCGUUAAAUGCAGCAAAUGAUACUGCAAAUGCUCGAGAUGGUAUAACCUCAACUCCCCAUUUAGAGCCUGUUGCUGCUUACUGUUUCCGCCAACAAUAUCAGAUGUUGCACAUGGCUGCUUUGCUUGUUAUCAUUACAAGAAGAAGCAGGAUCCUGGAGACAAUUGCAAAAUGCAUCUUCAUCCUUAGGAUAUGAUGUUGGUAGAGGAUGGUCAGGAAUGACACCAACCUUGUUGAUAUCCGUGUGUGCAGGUGUCUUGUUGGAACCGUACCAACAUUUAGAUUAACAGACCUACUUCCAAAUAGUACAGACGGAUGAACUCCAGUUGAAUAGUGUGCAUAAGGCAAAUCAGUUCCAAUUUCAAUCACCCUUUGAGUGUAAGCCUUUAUCCUGUUUUUGUGCUUCUUCUGAACUGACUUCAAUGAUCUUCUACUUUCAUAGGUACCAGGCAAAUAAUAAGUGCUGGUUUCUCCUUCAUCUUCAUCAUAUGCAACAUCUUCACACCCAAACUCUGCUCCAGUAUCAUAUAUGGAUGUUUCAACUUCUUCUUGAAUGCUACUACCAGUUUUCCCACACGGUAGAAAAUGAGAUUCAAUGGAUUUUCUGUAAGUUUCCAUGGCAGUGUGAGGAACUCUUGGACAUGAAUGAAAUGAUUGUAACAUGAAUGAAUAUGUGUAUGGAUGAACGGAAAUAAAGACCCAACAAGGAAGACUUAAAAAAGUAAGACUUCGCCGGGGAAAAGCAAUCAUCAACAGGGAAAAAUCCUAACUCCAGUAGGAGAAGAAUAUUACCUACUAUUAGUCGAGUGAUAACUUAAUAAAGAUAAUAAGCUCAAACAGAAUGAUUACUAACUACCAGCCAAGUGAUAUCUUAACAAAGGUAAUCAAUCAGAGAGUAAAAGGAACUAUUACCUAUUAUCAGUCAGGUGAUAGCUUAAUAAAGAUAAUAAGCUCAAACAAAAUGAUUACCAACUACCAACCAAUUGAUAGUUUAACAAAGAUAACCAAUCAGAGGUUAAAAUGAAUUAUUACCUACUAUCAGACAAGUAAUGACUUAACAAAGAUAAUAAACUCAAACAAAAUGAUUACCAACUCCCUACAAACUACUCUAAUUGUGUGUGUAAUUUAAUUAAGGGUUUCUAGAACCUUAUAUUUUUAUUACAAUAAAAUGAAAAUUAGAAAACAUCAAAAUGGGGAAUGUGUCACGCUCUCUUCUCGUGCCAUGACUACAAGCACAAGUUUUGACUNUGUGAGAAUUUAUAAAGAAGUCGUUGAAUGAUUCAGAGAAGAAGCGCCUUUACCAUCGUUUACUGCCCCAACGCAAGGAAAAAACUUUAUCAGAAAUAAAUGGGAAACCCCCCUUUCAGGCGGUGUCAAAAAUAAUCAGGUCACUCCAAAAAAUUCCUUGUAUGAUAGUUCUCAAACCCGUGAAAGCGUUAUCUCCUGAAACUAUCAGACGAGCUGCAUAUUCUUCGUGACCCAAACGCAUAGUUCGUAAACCCUCCCACGAAAAACAAAACGCAAAACAACCUUAAACCCCACAAACAGGGUUUUUAUAUAAUUCCUUGGGCAAGACCGGCUGAAUCUAACCCUAUCUUCGUAAGUCUCUAUAAACCCUGUCCUCACCUGUUUCACCCCAUCCUUGAAAAGAUGAUGACGAAAGAUUGUUUUCAUUUUUGAUUGGAUGAGUUCGGCGGUUUCCACCGUGCAUAUUCGUCUGAAGUUGUUAAUAUGUUCAGAAACUUUUUGAAAGGACAACUCUGCGAAGAAGAAAACCCGUUAGGUGCAAAAUAAGAGUAAUUUCUUUGUUGGGUGGAAGUAAGGAACCUUGGGAGAGAGCGAUAGGAGACUAGGAUUUUGUGAGUCUGCUGUCCGUUAUAAUCACCGUUCAUACCAUCCAAAUUAUAGCCGACAUUUCCAUUGGGAUUUUGGAGUUCUGCUGGCAAGAAUACCGGGGUAUGUCGGUGAUUGUUUUGAGAACCGAGAAUUAUGGUUUCAAGAACUGUCUUGAAUUGUAGGAAAGUGUUUCUGAGUCGACAAGUUCACUGCCGCCCAAGGAACAAAACCCGUCAAAGUGGCCGACUCAACAGUCUCAACAUGUCCUGCCGUUAGUGUAAAAUUUCUGAUUAAUGUUUGGUCUUGGGCUCUGUUGUAUUGUAUCUGUGGGAGAGAAAAGGGUAGAUGUGUUGUUUGUAGUUGCUGUAAUGGUCUCUGUAAUCGUGCAACCCACGUCGUGUCCCACAUCCCACCAAGACGGAUCCUCCAUUCUUAGCUCAUUGGCCCCUGAGUGUUCGCUCGGGUGUAUUGUGAUAGUGUCAGUCAACUCCUACGUUCGCCGAGACUGCAAUCCCUUCUUCCGCAUGAAGCCUGCUGUCCGCUCUCUCCGUUCGUUUACGUUCCUGACAUCUCGAUGCUCACACUAAUUCACCACACCUCUUACGGCCAUUCUUCUCACACACCACUCCGGAUAAAAACAAUUCCACGCACAUAUAUUGAUCUUUGAACUCGGUGUAGAUUCCAGAACUUUUCCUCAAAAAACCCACGUCCUUUGAUUUCUCUCUUCAAGGCACGACUCAUCUGGAUGAUUCCACUAAGGUGUUUGACGAUAUGCGUUCACAGGGAAUGUUAGUAUGCAUUUCGUGAAUGCUCUUGUUGUCGUGCUUUUUUCGUCGAUGUCGGGCAAAACCUCGCGAGGCUAGUGUCCGGUGUUCUCCAUAGGAAAUGGGGAGAGAGAUGUUGAGCUUAGUGAGUUUACAUUUUGUUUCUGGAUAUUUACCGUUGAACCGUCGCUGUUCUCCUCUUGGUGAAGGCAUUGGAACUGGCGUAGACAGCGUCUCAUGAAUGGCUUUGGUUUCAGUUGGCGCGUGAUUUUGGUUUGUGUUUUGAGUACUGCUCUCUCACUUGAUUUUAUGGUACUGGUUAGGAGGAUGCUAGUUAGAUCAGCUUUGAAUGUGUUUUAUAGUGAAUGGUUGGAAGAUGAGAUAUGAUGCAUAAAUUCGUUAGGUUUUCUGGGUAUGCUCAUUGAGCACGAUUGGGAGAUAUGGGGAGGCGUUUUUAAAGUCAUAGUGGAGGUUUGCUGUGAAGCCCCAAUAGUUGUGCAAUUUCACUAGUGUUCGGGUUAGUUGCUCUGAGAAAUUGAAUUUGCAGUUACUAGGGAAAACAAGUGCAUUGUUAUAGUUAUGCGGUUCGUAGGGUUUUACUUUAUAGCCCAAUUAUGUAAUGUACUGUUGACAUGAUGAUGCAAAAAUGUGGGAAGAUGUUGGCACUGGCUUUUUUCCGUUCUCUAGUUUGGUUUGUGGAUGUGUGAAUUUCGUUCGAGGUAUAUGAUGUGAGUUUUGCAGUGGACUUUUUGUUAUUGGUGAUUGAAUUGCAUAUGGAAGAAAUGGGUGUGGAAUGGAAGCUAUCGAGCUCUUUAGGUAUGAGGAGGAUGGGAAGUGAAGCGUGUUGCGAUUUCUGGUGACGUUGUUUAUCUGUUUUUGAUGAGCUUGUGACAUUCUGGGAGGUGGAGGAAGGGAAAAAAUGUUUUCAAUAUGAUGAAGAGAGAAAAUUAUGGCAUUGACCCAGAACCGCGAACACUAUGCAUGACUUCAUAGAUGUCUUAGGCCAAGCGGUAAUAUAAAAGAGGAGUGAUUGGUCUAGCUUAUUCUAGAAAAUUGAUAAGGCAGAGCGCUAUUAAACCUAGUGCAGAGGGAGUAUGUGAUAGCGUUGGUCUGAAUGCUUGCAGUCUCAGUCAAAGAUUUUGAAAGAGGCGAGUUUGCCCAAAGGCUGCUUUUGUUGUUGGAUCCCGACAGAAAGGCGUAGCAAUAUUUGUGUGUUGUAUCAAACUUUUAUGCAGCAUUUGGUAGGUGGGAUUUAGUUUUGUGAUGAACUGUAUGAUAGCAUAACUGAGCGACUCUUCGAAGGUCGUUUGGAAUUUCCAAGGGAAUGACAUGAAUAGGGACUGAAGAAUUCGCGAACAUCUGUAUGGAAGGUGUUGUUCUCAUAUGACAUGGUCUAGGGCGCCUCCACUCUAACUUUGAUUGUUCAGACCCUAUCCUCUGGAAUAGUGAAAGCCUCACUCUGUUGGUUGGUGAUUUUUGAUCCUUCUAGUAGAUGUCUACACCUGAACUGCGUUCCAUGAAAUUUAAAGGAAGCAAGUCAACUUGGUUAACGCAUCUAGCUUCCGCCAUUCCUAUAAAAAUGUGGUUUUUCCCUUCUGUGUUCUCCCCCACAAACAGAGUUUCAUACAUUUUGGAUGAGUUGUUUCCUUGCUUAUUCUGUCAUUUUAUGUUUCAGUCACCUUUAUCCGUGAUCUCUUGUAGUUUCGGUAGCAUAUUUUUUUGGUACUCAUCAUGGGCUAAGAUACAAAUGAAUUUUUCCGCCUAGAAUGAGAUUUUCUCAUGAUGGGAUUUAUGCUUAUGUCUUAUUUUGUUUCUGGUUCCAAAAGUAGAGAGGCUUAAAUACUCCAUAUAGUAAUUUUAUUCAUCUCCAACUUCUAAGCUGUAAUCUCUUCUGAGUUUCACUUAGCUUAACAUUUGAGUGUGCAUGUUUGUGGUUGAGAAGGAUUAUUCCAUUGGGCUGACAACUGCUUAGAGACGCUGCUACAUUGUUUAUUCUGCACUCGGCCCCCUAUCCAUGACCAUGAACCAUGACCAGUUAGACGCAUGACCAAUCUAUUCACCAUCCUCUUUUGAAUAAUUAGUCUAAUGUAGCACCGUGGUCUCUUGCGAGAGGUAAUGUUCAACUGCUAACCUAAACAUUAUUAAAGCCUUAAUCUUCCCUUUUAUUUGACUUGGCCUGGCCGGCAUUAGGGUUGUAGUUCAUUCAUUAUAAGAUUGUUGUUGAGUAUAUACACCAAGACCAGCUAAGGUAGGGAUAAUUUAAUAUGCUUGGACCAAUAAGGCAAACAAACCACCCCCAAGUUUUGCCUGGAAAACAUAAUCACACUUUGAUUUUCUCUCUUGUUUCCUCGUAUAUAUUUUAGUUAAUUUAAUAGUUCCGCAACCCGGUGUGCCCCUUCAUUAACCUGAUGACACUCCCAUCUGCAUCUCAUCCUCCUACAUGGCAUGAUAUGACAAUGAUGGAUGAUUUUUAGAAGUAGUUUAGAAGGACGCACAUUCGAUUUUAGUUCGUAUUUUCUCCUGUAGGUGCAGGAAAGUUGCAAAAAAUUUGAUGCUUAAAGUCAAAACCAAUUUGUUAAGGUUAGCAGAAGCACGGAGAAAAGAUGAAUUUGCUUCUAAGUCGUUCAGUUCUUCACUUAUACAGUGAUUUCUUAUAGAUUUUCUAUGCCUGUGCACUUUUGAGUUCAAGAAUCUAAGUUUACAACUUCAGCGGCUUGGCACCCAUAAUCAAUGUCUAAGCACCCGAAAAAUGACUCUCUCACGAGUCAUGAGACACCAGAGUUCCAGUGAAAUUUGUACCUUCAAAAAGUAAAAGGGUUUUGAGAUUAAAAAUGUGAGUCCCGUGUGAAAUGUAAACGGGAGGGAAUCACAAUCCCAAGACACUCAGACCUGCGAGUGUUACUAGGAUUUCUUUUCUCCUAUGGAUUGUAUGUAUCUAACACCCAAAAAAUCAAUGCAUGGGCAUCCAGAAAUUUGUAAUUAUGAAACUAAAGGUAGUACGAGUUUUUUUAGGAAGUAUAUGGAAAGUAAAGGAGAAAAACUCUCUUUGAAUUAUAGCCUUUAUUUACUAUCUUUCAUGGGUUAUAAAAGCCAUAACAUCAUUGUAAAAACAACAUUUUGAGAAGAAAAAUCCAAAAGAGAUUAGCCACCAUUUACUUUUGGUGAGAUUGUAAUAACAACAUUUGGAUUCUCAUUCAUUUUUAUAAAGUUAUUAUUGUUACUCCAUUGUUACUAUUAUUAUUAUAGUGGGAAAAGUAGGAUCUUGGGAUAAUCAUCCGCUGACCUUGUAUUAGGCAUUUUAAGUGUUAUUUUUCCCAACAAGUGGUAUCAGAGUUUCGGCUCACCAUACAUUUUAACUUCUAUUAUUAACAAUGGACGAGUCAACCUCGACGGGAUCAGCGACGAUGAUUAAGUUAACCUCUUCGAAUUACUCCAUUUGGAAGCCAAGAAUGAAAGACAUACUUUAUUGCAAGGAUUUGUAUCAACCGUUGCAAGACAUACUUUUUUGACAAUGGAUAGAUUAAAGUGUCUUCCAUCAUGUUGCACAAGAAACAGUUGCGUACACAUUAUGGACGAAACUAGAAACAUUGUACGAGAGAAAGACAACCCAGAAUAAAGCCUCUACUAUUCGGCGAUUGGUGAAUCUCAAGUAUAAAGAAACCCGAAGUGUUUCCGAACACUUGAGCAUAUUUUGAAGAUUGAUAAAUCAACUCACCAAUAUAAAGAUGGUUCUUGAAGACGAAUUCCAAACUUUGUUAUUAUUAAGUUCUUUGCUAGACAAUUGGGAUACACUUGUGGUUUCAUUGAGUAACUCGGAACCACAAGGUGUUCUAACAUUGGACAAAGUAAGAGAUAGCAUGUUCAAUGAAGAAUCUUGAUGGAAUCAGAAUCUGAGGCGCUUGUCACAGAGUAUCGUGGAAGAAGUAUCUACAGAAAGUUCAAUAAUAGAGACAAGUCAAGAGGCAAGUCUAGAGAUAAGUUCAAUGGAAAAUCGUGGGCAAGAAAAGACGUUGAAUGUUUUUACUGUCACGAGAAAGGUCACAUAAAGAGAGAAUGUAGGAAGCUCAAAAGAGAGCAACAAGAAAAUGGUGAUGCGAGUAACAUAGCCACUAGCAUUUUUCAAGGCAAUGAAGUAAUCUUUGUUUGUGAUGAUGGUCAUGUUAAUUUGACAUCACAAGAAACAUGUUGGGUAGUGGAUUCCGAUGCAUCAUUUCAUGUAACAUCACGAAGGGAUUUCUUUUUAUCUUAUACAAUAGGUGAUUUUGGUCAUGUGAGGAUGAGCAAUGAUAAUACAUCCAAAAUUACGUGGAAAGGAGAUAUUUGUCUUGAAACAAACACUGAUUGUUACUUAACAUUGAAAGAUGUGAGACAUGUUCCUGACAUGCGUCUCAAUCUAAUAUCCACCGGACUACUAGACGAAGAAGGCCAUACUAGUGUGUUUGGGGUCAGGAAGUGGAAGCUAAUAAAAAUUUCCUUGGUAAUUGUAAGACCCCAAUUUUUGCCCUAAGAUCCCUCAUGGCCCAUAUCAUAUCAUAUCAUGGCCUCAAGGAUCAUUGCAUACCCUAGCUUCCCUCCUAGUGGGUGGGAUACCUUGUGAGUGUGAUUCUUGAUCACCAAGCAUGUAUUGCAUUUGUAUAUCAUUGCUUUUCAUAUGUUUACUAACCAAAAGUACAAAAAUAUUUGCUUCCCUCCUAGUGGGUGGGAUACCUUGUGAGUGUGAUUCUUGAUCACCAAGCAUGUAUUGCAUUUGUAUAUCAUUGCUUUUCAUAUGUUUACUAACCAAAAGUACAAAAAUAUUGUCAUCUAACCUUGUUGUUUGCAGAUGAAGCUAGCUAGGUCAAAUCAGUCAAAGCAAGUCAUUGAGCUAGAUGGUGACCAUUCUUGAAGAAUUUGGGCACCAUGAUCAUUCAUCAAGAGUUCAUAUGACUUAUGAUAUCAUUUGGAAUCAAGAUCUCAAUUGAAAGAGGCUUGGAAAUUCAUCAGAACAUGGCUCAGUCAACCAAAACCCUAGCAAAGUCAACUGUGGUCAACUGUACAUUUAAUCAGGGAUUGGAGGGUGUGAGAUGGUUAGAAAGACCUCAUUCAUGUCCAUACAAGUCUCAUUUGACAUUUCAAAGAUCAAGGUUGAAGGAUUUGAGGUCAGACAAAAAGUUUCCAAAAAUGGAAAUGACCUGUAAUUUUCACCUGCCAAAAAUGAAAAGUUUUGCUCCUCAAAAUUACAUCAUGAACCAAGCUUCAAAUCAAAAUUUGUCCAACAUGAAAGUUGAAGAUCUUGUUCUUGCCUUUCCAAAAAGUCCAAGAACACUCAUUUCCCAUUUAUGGUUGGCAAGAUAUGGUCAAAUCAUUUUCAGAAAAUGCCUAAAUUCAAAGUGGCAUAACUUUCACAUGGAAUGGCCAAAUUGGAUGGUUCUUCUUUGAGCAAACCACAUUUGAUAUGUACUUUCAUAAUCCAUCAUCACAUUUUGCCAAAAGCCUUCACAUAAAAAGGUCAUUUUUCAAGUGUACUAAUUAAAAACCAAGGGCAAAAUGGUCCAACUUUCAAAUUACAUGGAAUUUUGACAUGGGACUUUUUCCAACACAUCACAAAUGGUAUUUGGAACUUGCUUGAACCAAGUUUGGACUGAAAAAUUGGCUGCAUAAGAGAAAGGGCAAAAAUGCCAAAUUGCUUACAAGUGCACAUUUUGCUAAUUAUCCAAAAUUGCUAAUCAUGAUUAUGAGCUGGAUUAGUGUGAAGUAUAUAAGCUUAAUUAUAACAGAAACUCAGGGCAUAAUCACUUUUUCAGAUUCAUCACAAAAAACUCUCUAAUUCUCUCACUUUUCUCAAAUUUUUCACAAACUUUUUUUCAUCAAUUCAUCAAGAAUCCAUCAAUCUUUGUGCAAUUUUUUGCUGUAUUCAUCAUUUGCAGGUGCUUUUGGAGUUCUGUUUGUGGUAAUCGGAAGAGAAAACCGUGCAAAUACCAACUGUUGUAAAGCUUGUUCAUCAAUGGCAGCUGGAAGAAUCGUCAUGAUCGUGCACUCUUGAGCUUGCCAAUCACCACCAGCCACCUCCUACAGCAUAUUACAUCAUCUGUUUCACACAAAUCGGAGCUGAAUCGCGUGAAAUCCAACCGUUACCAUCACUAAGGUCAAAUCUCGAUUCUCACCAUACUUAAAAUCGCGAUAUGGCUUUUGUAGAGCGUACAACGUAGAGUAGAUUGCAAUUCGAAUCGAGCAUUUUCAUCGAGUAUUCAUGGAGAAAUCUUGAAUUAAAGAUUGCAUGUCAAAACUUCUUUCGAUCGGUUCUUUAUGUGUGUUAACUUAUAGACAAAAGCGUUGCCAUAUCUGUAACCUACGUUGAGAGACGGAGAGAAUGGUAUAGAGUUUGCGCGAUUUGGUGAAGAAAUGCUCGUGACGGAAGCUGGUGUUGAUGAAGACGAAGAACACGCGAAGUUCUUCAAGAAAUCUGGAAAUUCACCGUGUUCAAUCCGCUUCUUGGCCUGGCAGUUUUCAAAACCUGUUUCCCGCCGGUUUCGCCCAAUAGAAUAGUGACAGCAAAUAAAUGAAGCUGUGUCGUUUUGGCACAGGCGUGGGUUAAUUACGGUUGUGCCAUCCAAUUAAUUUAAAUCAUAUUACACAUUAAAUAAACAUUUCAAUAAUUAACAAAUCUUCAAAAAAUCAUAUUAAAUUCAUCCUUAAUCCAAAUUAAUUGGGACUUUUUUUGUUGGAUUCCAAAUUUCCUCUAGAAUUUUUUAGGCAUAGAAACUUAAGUUGUGCCUGGUAAAAUUUUGGAUUGGCUUAUUGAUUUUUGUCAUGUGUGCAUUAUACAUAUGUUUCACCAUUUUAAUCACCAAAUAAUCAUGCUAGCUCCAAAUUUAAUGAAAUUUCAUAUGAUGAUUCUUGACUCAUGCCUGGAGAUUUUGAUGUGUAAUUUGUGAUUUUUGGAUCCCUGGUUUGAUAGAUAUGAUAUAAUCUUUUUGAGUGUGACAAUAUGUGUCACACUAUGCUAUGUUGUGUUCAUGAUUUAAUUUUCCAUGCUUAUGCCUUGCCUAUGGCUCUGAUUUUUUUGCAUGAGAUGACUUGUAUAUGUUAGGUUACACCCUGAUUUUUUGUGGAUUUAAUUGAUCCAUUUUCUAUUUGAUUUGCAUUUUUGAUUGCUGUUUAGCAUUUUUGGAUUGUUUCUUGAGUAGCAAACUUACAUGUCUUGUAAAAUACUCAUCCCUUAUCAUAUGAAUGUGAAAUUUGGUGGAGUGUUUCCUAAUAUGUAUAGCUUUAAUUUGGAUUUGGUCCCACUCAUUUCUAAUUUGAUCUCACUGUUUUACAAUUGAUUGAAGUUGACAUUUGUUUUGUGACCUAGUUUAGGUUGAUUUUUGCAUGCCAUGACGUGUUGAAUUUAAUUUCCCUACUUCCACUAGUCCAAAUUGCAUGAAAAUUGACAUGUAGCUCAUUGAAUAUGUUCUGUUUAGAAUAGAAUUUUUGUGGAAUUUAUUGAGCUGUUUUGAUAUUUGUUUGGAUGUGAUCAUUCUGUUUACUCAUUUGUGGUUCAUACUUGCUUACUUUGAGUUAAAUUGUGCAUAAAAUGAAAUGAGUGCAUAGUUUGGAUGUGAGACCAAUUGGUCCUUCUUCUUAAUUGAAUUAUCUUGACUUUGAUCAUGUUUCACUUGCUGUUUUAACAUUUUUCCAUCCUUUGGACCCUAGACUUGUCCUAGUGGUCUUGUUACUCAUGUUUGAGUUUGACUUUGACUUUUCAGGUUAAGAAGCAAAGUGCUUAAAAGGAAUUAAUGCAAGUUGAAUUGUUUCAUUUGACUAUUGUGGACUAACUUGUUUCUGUUGUAGGGUGCUUGGUUCACUUGAGCCUUGUGCUAUGCACAUUAUUGUUUGAUUGUACAUUGUCUGCUGAUUCUUAUGUUGUUGUUUUGUUUAUAUUGGGAUGCUGAUUAUAUUUGAUUGAUUUCAGGUACCCUUUAGUUGCUCAGUUCUUUUGAGAAUUUGCAUUGCUUUGCUUGUAUAGCAUUUGCAUUGAGGUAGACUCUCUUGUCUCCAUGUAGUCUAGAAGACCUGGCUUGUUAUUUAGCCAGGCAACUGUCUGAAGUCCUCCUUAAGAGGCGAUGUUUGUGAUUGUUUAUGUUUGUCCCCAAGCAGGUAAAGUCCUUUUAAAGGCAAUUGGUGGAUAUAAGAGNUUGUGCAUUUACCAUCCUUGAUUUGCCAUUGGUGCAUGAUCAUUUCAUUUGUCCUUGUGACAUUGAUGUUUUCCCAUUGAGGACAAUUGUAAGUCCAUAUUGAUUGGCUUUUGUUCCUAUGACAUGGAAGGGAUAGAGUGUAAGACCACCUCAUCGGUCGCUCAUAUCCUCUUUGCUCUUUGAUUGAGCUUGUUGUUGUAUGUGAGGAUUCAUUGUAAGUCCACGUAAUUUGGCAUUUGUUUUCCUAUGAUCAUAUGUGGAGGUUAACCUAAGUCCAGAUAGAUUGGCAGUUGACUUCCAUGUUUUGUUUUUGUUUUGCCUUUGUGAGAUUGGAGUAAGACCAUUUAUUGGCAUCCGGUAUCAUUGCUUUAUUUUAGGAGAUUGGUGUAAAUCCAUUUAUUGGUAUCUGGUAUCCGCCUUUGUGUGAGAUUGGAAUAAGACCAUUGAGUGGCAUCCGGUAUCACUUUGUCUUUUAAUUACUAACUUGCUUUGUCCCUCAUUCCAAAGGACACACUUGAAUCAUCUUCUAUAUGAUUUCAAGAGGUGAACCUCUAGGAAGUUUUACACUCCACCAUCCACCCAUUUUUGUUACAAAUCCUUUUUCACAUUGUUGACUUUUCAAACCUGUAUAUACAUGUUGUGCAAACAUUCUCACCUCUUUCCAAAUUAGAAACUUGGACCUUAAGUCCAUGAUUUUCCAAACUUCAUUUUUUGUAAAUACUUCAUUUUGAAUUGACUUUAAUCAUACUUUGACCAUAUUUUGUAAAUAAUCCAAAUCAAUUAACUUCACCCAUUCAAAUGAUUUUGUGGCUUUGUCCAUGUUUGUUAAGUUUUCAUACAUUAGCCAUAGGUUUGAUUUAUCCUAGUUGGUUGAUGUUAACCUCACCUAUUUGUCCUUAGUUGAUUGAAUUGUAAGUCUUCCUUGCUUAUUAUAGGGUUAACCCCUCUCUAGCAAGUUGAAGCUUUUCUCACAUGGUGGACGUGUUGUUUCAUAAGGUUGAGUUUUCUCCCGUGGAUAACGUAAAACCUUAGUGCUAUUGUUUUAAAAUAAACUCACAAAUGUUUGGAAAUCUUUUAGCCGAACUACGGCGUUUUGAUCCUUACCUUUGAUGGAAGGUACGUAGGCAACGGGUUCAUCCGUUCGAACACAAAAAUAAUUAACUUGUACAUUCUUUUCUCAUCAUCCCANNNNNNNNNNNNNNNNNNNNNNNNNNNNNNNNNNNNNNNNNNNNNNNNNNNNNNNNNNNNNNNNNNNNNNNNNNNNNNNNNNNNNNNNNNNNNNNNNNNNNNNNNNNNNNNNNNNNNNNNNNNNNNNNNNNNNNNNNNNNNNNNNNNNNNNNNNNNNNNNNNNNNNNNNNNNNNNNNNNNNNNNNNNNNNNNNNNNNNNNNNNNNNNNNNNNNNNNNNNNNNNNNNNNNNNNNNNNNNNNNNNNNNNNNNNNNNNNNNNNNNNNNNNNNNNNNNNNNNNNNNNNNNNNNNNNNNNNNNNNNNNNNNNNNNNNNNNNNNNNNNNNNNNNNNNNNNNNNNNNNNNNNNNNNNNNNNNNNUUAACCUCACCUAUUUGUCCUUAGUUGAUUGAAUUGUAAGUCUUCCUUGCUUAUUAUAGGGUUAACCCCUCUCUAGCAAGUUGAAGCUUUUCUCACAUGGUGGACGUGUUGUUUCAUAAGGUUGAGUUUUCUCCCGUGGAUAACGUAAAACCUUAGUGCUAUUGUUUUAAAAUAAACUCACAAAUGUUUGGAAAUCUUUUAGCCGAACUACGGCGUUUUGAUCCUUACCUUUGAUGGAAGGUACGUAGGCAACGGGUUCAUCCGUUCGAACACAAAAAUAAUUAACUUGUACAUUCUUUUCUCAUCAUCCCACUCGUGUUUGCACAAUAUGUCAAAAAACAAAUAAAUAUUUUUAUACAACAAGUGUGAAAAGGGCUCCCUAGGAGUACCUAGGACGUGAUGGGUGCCUAACACCUUCCCAUUGCGUAAUUUACCCCUUACCCAGACUCUCUGAUCUUUUCCAUUAGUUUUCUACGUGUAAAACUUCUUAGGUUUUUGUUCGCUUUUUAACCAGUCCUUAGGAUAAAUAAAAGUGCGGUGGCGACUCGAUUCAUUGUAUGCUUUGCUUAUGGUUUAACCAAUAAAUCAUAUAGCGACGAAUACACCGCUACAGUAAUAGUCCGAGGCAAGGAAAUGAGCACUCUUUAUGUGAUAGAGGCUAAAGUCAAUAAUGAGUGCAUUAACGCUCUCGGAGAAGACUCCUCAUCCGAACUAUGGCAUAAACGGCUCAGACAUAUGAGUGAGAAAGGACUUCAAAUUCUAGCUAAAAGAGGUAUUUUGGCAUGUAUGAAAGGAUUGAAAAUGUCUCUUAAACCAUGUACACAUUGCUUGGCUGGAAAGCAACAUAGAGCUUCAUUUCAAUAUAAGGCCCCACAUAGAAAACCACAUGUUUUAGAUUUGGUACAUUAUGAUGUUUGUGGUCCAAUGACCACUAGUACUCUUGGAGGUGCAAGGUAUUUUCUUACCUUUAUUGAUGACCACUCCAGAAAGGUAUGGAUGUAUGCCCUCAAAACAAAAGAUCGGGUGUUUGUAGUAUUCAAACAGUUUCAUGCUAGUGUCGACGAGAAACUGACAAGAAGUUAAAAUGUGUUCGCACUGACAAUGGAGGAGAAUUUAUUGGAGAUUUCAAACGUUACUGUAUGAGUAAUGGAAUCCAGCAUGAAAUAUUUGUUCCGAAGACACCUCAACACAAUGGAGUAGCUGAGAGAAUGAACAAAACUAUUGUUGAAAGAGUGAGAACAAUUUUAUCUCAUACCAAAUUACCAAAGAGUUUUUGGGGUGAGGCUCUAAUGACUGCAAUUGAUUUAAUCAACUUAUCCCCUUCAGCUCCAUUGAAUGGUGAUGUUCCAAAUAGAUUUUGGACAGGUAAAGAUGUAUCCUACAAUCACUUAAAGGUGUUCGGUUGUAUAACGUUUAUUCAUGUUCCAAAAGAAGAGAGAUCAAAACUCGACUCAAAGUCGAAGGAGUGCAUAUUCUUGGGAUAUGGAAAUGAAGAAUCCAGGUAUAGGUUAUGGGAUCCUGUAGAGAAGAAGAUUAUUAGAAGCUGAGAUGUUGUCUUCUUUGAAGACCAAAAUACUGAAGAUAUUUAGAAGGGAGUUAAGCCUGUUAUUUCUAGAGAACAUCCAAUCAACUUGGAUCCAAUGCCUCCUUUAGAGCAUUACGGGGGAGAUCAAAUAGAAGAUAUUGGAGAUGUAGAAAAUGAACCUCCAAUUAAUAAUGGUUCAACUGAAGAAGUAACAGAUGGUAAUAGAAGUGUUGGUGAUAAUGAAGAUAUAAUUGAAGACUAUGAGGAUGAAGAACAAGAGCCUCAAUUAAGAAAGUCAUCCAGUGUAACAGAUGGUAAUAGAAGUGUUGGUGAUAAUGAAGAUAUAAUUGAAGACUAUGAGGAUGAAGAACAAGAGCCUCAAUUAAGAAAGUCAUCCAGAAUACCUAAACCGCAAACCAAAUAUCCUGCAACGGAAUUUGUAUUACUCACUGACGGGGGAGAACCAGAGUCUUAUGAAGAAACUUUGAUGGAUAACCACAAAGAAGAGUGGUUGAAAGUCGUGCAAGAAGAAAUUCAAUCCUUGCCUGGGAACUCGACUUAUAAGCUGGUAGGUUUAUUGAAAGGAAAAAUAGCACUAAAAAACAAAUGGGUGUACAAGUUGAAAACUGAGGAGAAUAACUCACGACCCAGAUACAAGGCAAGAUUAGUCGUAAAAGGCUUUGGUCAGAAGAAAGGAAUUGACUUUGAAGAGAUUUUUUCACCCGUAGUAAAGAUGUCAUCUAUUCGGGUAGUGUUGGGCUUGGCAGCAAGUUUAAAUCUAGAUGUAGAAAAACUGGAUGUGAAAACUGCAUUUCUUCAUGGAGAUUUAGAAGAAGAAAUUUACAUGGAGCAACCAGAGGGAUUCAAAGUCAAAGGCAAAGAAAACUUGGUAUGUCAACUGAAAACGAGUUUAUACGGACUUAAGCAGGCAUUGCGUCAAUGGUACAAGAAGUUUGAUUCCUUCAUGAUUGGUCAUGGAUACCCAAGAACUAAUUCUGGUCAUUGUGUGUUUGUGAAGAGAUUUGAUGAUGGUGAGUUCAUCAUAUUACUCUUGUAUGUUGAUGAUAUGUUGAUCGUAGGACAAAAUAGUGAGAAGAUAAGUAAGUUGAAGAAUGAAAUGAAGAAGUAAUUUUCAAUGAAAGACUUGGGACCAGCGAAACAUAUUCUUUGCAUGUCCAUCCAUCGUGAUCGGACUAAACACAAGUUGUGGAUAUCACAAGAAAAAUAUAUUAAGAAGGUGUUAGAGCAUUUUCACAUGGAAAGCGCAAAGCCAAUUGUUACUCCACUUGCUAGUCACUUUUGUCUUAGUUCAAAGCAUAGUCCGACAACUGACAUUGAAAAUCAAGAGAUGAACAAGGUGACAUAUGCCUUAGCUAUUGGAGGCUUGAUGUAUGCAAUGGUAUGUACACGAGCAGAUAUAACACACGCGGUUGGUGUUGUCAGUAUAUUCUUGGCAAAUCCAGGAAAGGAGCAUUGGAAUGCUAUGAAGUGGAUCUUGCGAUAUCUCAUAGGAAUUUCCAAAAUGAGUUUGUGCUUUGGAAGUAGAAAACCUAAACCGGUUGGCUACACAGAUGCAGAUAUGGCGGGAGAUAUUGAUUAUAGGAAAUCAACUUAUGGAUUCUUGAUUACAUAUUCAGGGGGAGUAGUAUUCUGGCAGUUGAAGCUACAAAAGUGUAUUUGGGAGAUAUUGAUUAUAGGAAAUCAACUUAUGGAUUCUUGAUUACAUAUUCAGGGGGAGUAGUAUUCUGGCAGUUGAAGCUACAAAAGUGUAUUGCUUUGUCUACCAUAGAGGCAAAGUUCAUUGCAAUAACAGAAGCUUGCAAGGAAAUGUUAUGGAUGAAGCAGUUCUUGCAUGAAUUAGGACAAGAACAACAUAAGUAUGUCGUGCAUUGUGAUAGUCAGAGUGCAAUCCACUUAAGCAAGAAUUCAAGUUUUCACUCAAGGUCAAAACAUAUCGAUGUGAGAUAUCACUGGAUACGUGAUAUGUUGGAUUCCAAGCAACUACAGCUUGAGAAAAUUCAUAUUGAUGAUAAUUGCUCAGAUAUGAUAACUAAGUCCUUACCUAAGGAGAAGUACGAGUUCUGCAAAAGAGAUGCUGAACUAUUCGAGCCCUCCAUCAAAUCGGAAGGGGGAAAUUGAUAGGUUUCCUCUUUAGGAGGAUAGAACGAGUUUUUCUAGGAAAUUUAUGGAAAGUAAAGGAGAAAAACUCUCUUUGAAUUAUAGUCUAUAUUUACUAUCUUUCAUUUGUUAUAAAAGUCAUAUUCUAUAACAUCAAUAACAUCAUCGUAUAAACAACCUUUUGAGAAGAAAAAUCCAAAAGAGUUUAGCCACCAUUUAUUGAAAAAUCCAAAAGAGUUUAGCCACCACUUAUUUUUGGUGAGAUUGUAAUAACAUCUGGAUUCUCAUUUAUUUUUACAAAAUUAUUAUUGUUACUCCAUUGUUACUAUUAUUAUUAUAGUGGAAAAAUUACGAUCUUGGGAUAAUCAUCCGCUGGCCUUGUAUUAGGAAUUUUAAGUGUUAUCUUUUCCAACACACACAUAUUAACAAAUAUGUGAAUAUUUUAUCAUAUUCUUGAUAUUUAUUUUAAUUUACAUAUUAACAAAAAAAUAUUAUUUAUUUAUAAAUGAUAUUGUUUUUAUUUGAAAUAAUAUAUUUAUAUUUAUAUUUUUAAUUUCAUUUUUUAUUUAUCGACAUUAAUAAAGAUAAGAUUAAAAUAAAUAUUGAUAGUUACAUGCACGCACUUGCAAUAUAUUAUUUUAAAUUUAUUUGAGAAUCCAAUUUCAUAUAUAUUAUUCUUUAGACAUAAGAUAAAAUUGUAAGAUACAAUUCAUAUUUAUGCAUUAAAAUAUACAUUUAUUUUGAUAAUUAUAAAUUUAUUUUAUAGUAAUGUAUGAAUAUAUAAUUAUAAAAUUAUAUUUGUAUGCUUCAAUGAAAAUUUUGUAAAAAGUUGAAAUCGCAUUGGUUUGAUUCAGUUUUAUUUUUAAAAUUCAAUUGAAUUAAAUUGAACCGCGUAAUUUUUUCUCUUACGUUUUGGAUGAUUUUUAAUAUCAAAAUUACUCAAAUCGUACUGCGAACACCCCUAAUUAUCAAUGUUACGUAAUGUUGAGUUGAAACGAUCUAAUAUGUCAACAAUUUCAUCGAUAAAGUCCUUUCUUCUUUCUUUCUUUGGCUGUGCCAUGUUCAGGUUUAUAACACUCAAGACAAAGGAGACUUGGAGAUUAAGUGCCAUGUUCAGGUUUAUAACACUCAAGACAAAGGAGACUUGGAGAUUAAGGUUCUUCAAGCAAGUUUUUGGGGGAAUUUUCUAUAGAUUCACCUCUAAUUUCUAUUUCUUGAAGAUAGGUAAGAAGUUCUCUUCACUUUUUUGAAUCUUUAGUCUUAUUUUAUCCAUCCCAAAACUUUUUAAGUUACUUGAAGGAUUCAAAUGGAAUACGUGAUAAUUGAUUUGUUACUAAGAUCUUUGUUUGAUUUUUUUAGUUACGCCAUAAAAAUAUCGAUUAAAUUCAAAUUUAAUAAAUUAUAUAAAAUUUCAUAUAAGUUUAUCAAAUUAUUUUUUCAUCUCUUAUGCUAAAUCUUUACUUCAUCUUUCUCAUAAACAUUAAUUAAUUAAUAUGUGAUCAAUUUAAUAAAAAUUAAAGGUUGAAUAAUGAGAUUAAUUCAAUAAAGUAAUUGUAUUUUGACAUAACUAUGUAUCUCAUAGUAAUUCUAUUUUGACACAACUAUGUAUUUCUUUUUCAUCUUAUUUUAAAAGGUAAUUUAAUCAUUGUAAUUUGGAUCUUAGAGUUAGCGUCCACCUCCCUCUCUCUGUCUCUCUCCCUCUCUCUCUCCAAAUGAAUCGAUUAAUUCACAAUCCACGCCCUCCCAUGAUUGACACAUGUCACUUAUUUUACAACGUAACCCUCCUUCAAAUUUUAUAUCACUUAUAUCUCCCCCUCUCACACACACAUAACAAAAAUCUUUAUCUUCACAUUUUCUAUUCUUCUUUUUCAUAUCCUUCAACAUUUCUUGAAGCAAGUUGCAUCUUCAUCUUCAUCAUCAGGUUCUUCAUCAACUUCAACAUUUCUUGAAGCAGGUUGUAUCUUCAUCUUCAUCAUCAGGUUCUUCAUCAAUUUCAAUAUUUCUUGAAGCAAGUUGCAUCUUCAUCUUCAUCAUCAGGUUCUUCAUCAGCUUCAACUAUCAUCUUCUUCAUAAACAUCAUUUUCAUUUUCGGUUUAUUUACAUUCAACUUAUUUCAUUAUUGAUUGUUCUUCCAUGUUUGCAAUUGACUUUUUUUCUACAAUGAUCUUUCUCCAUCAAGGUAUGUUAUUUUCGUUUCCUUUUCCUUUAGAAACUUUCAUUAUUUGUUUAUAUUAAUAAUGCAUUUUAUGGUUCUAAACUGCAUUAUCAGUUUGUUUACCUUCAAUCUCAUUUCAUUAUUAAUUGUUCUUCUAUUUUUGGAGUUGACUUUGGUUAUACAUUGAUCUUUCUCCAUCAAGGUAUGUUAUUUUUGUUUUAUUUUCCUUUCACAACUUUCAUUAUUGAUUCCUAAAACUUAGCAUUUUCUGUUUUCAUUUUCAUCAUCAACAUCAACUAUUAACUCCUAUAUUUAUUGUUUCCUUUUGUUUUAAAAUAUUUCAUCUUUGUUACUUUUGAGAUUUAUGUCCUUUCCUAAUUGUUAUUGGUGGUAAGUAUUUCCUUUUUUUCAUCCUUACUUAACAGAGCCAGAAAGAGAGAAAAACUUGUUUAUAUGGCAAGUGUUGUUCUUCAGGAUUGAACUCUUUCAAUCCUUUAUGUGAUGUCUUUUUCUAUUUAUCUGUGCCAAUGCUUGAUAAAAUAUUAUUUGUAUUCCUUCAAUAUUUUUAUUUUCUUCAUCUAAAUGCUUUAAACAUUAAAUGUCUCAAAUACUGCUGACUAUUCUGAUUUUUGAUUUUUAAGGUUUGAAUAGAAAUAUUUGUAUCCCUUCAUUUGUUUAUUGUCUUUAUUUCUAAUAAGUAUUUUUUUAAUUAGAUGUCAAGACCACCUACUUUAAUUAAAGUUUUGCAGAAGGACAACAACAUAGGAAAAAUGGCACAUAAUAGUUUAUUUAUAGACAAUCACAUAGCGUGGUGGACAGACUUACAACAAACAUCCAAAGUUUAAACAUGACUAUUAUGUAAUCUGAUGGGUCUCAUAUUAUCAAUCAAAGGAUUUAGAAGAAAUAUAGGCAAUUGUAAUUGUAUUAAUGAGAAAUAGCACAAUUACAAGAACAAAUUGGUAGCAACUUGCCAAUCCCCAAAGCAUUAAGGUUUCCACAAUUCACGUUUCAAUGAAAUGCUCUGCUAACCGAAUUCUUAGCGCCCCCCCCCCCUAACACUUGCAGGUCUGAGUGUCUUGGGAUUGUGAUUCCCUCCCGUUUACAUUUCACACGGGACUCACAUUUUUAAUCUCAAAACCCUUUUACUUUUUGAAGGUACAAAUUUCACUGGAACUCUGGUGUCUCAUGACUCGUGAGAGAGUCAUUUUUCGGGUGCUUAGACAUUGAUUAUGGGUGCCAAGCCGCUGAAGUUGUAAACUUAGAUUCUUGAACUCAAAAGUGCACAGGCAUAGAAAAUCUAGUGUGAAGCACUGAAGACUUAGAAGCAAAUUCAUCUUUUCUCCGGGCUUCUGCUAACCUAACAAAAGUCUGGUUUUGAUCUUUAAGCUCAAAUUUUGCACACUUUCCUGCCACACUCACAGGAGAAAAUACGGAACUAAAUGANNNNNNNNNNNNNNNNNNNNNNNNNNNNNNNNNNNNNNNNNNNNNNNNNNNNNNNNNNNNNNNNNNNNNNNNNNNNNNNNNNNNNNNNNNNNNNNNNNNNNNNNNNNNNNNNNNNNNNNNNNNNNNNNNNNNNNNNNNNNNNNNNNNNNNNNNNNNNNNNNNNNNNNNNNNNNNNNNNNNNNNNNNNNNNNNNNNNNNNNNNNNNNNNNNNNNNNNNNNNNNNNNNNNNNNNNNNNNNNNNNNNNNNNNNNNNNNNNNNNNNNNNNNNNNNNNNNNNNNNNNNNNNNNNNUGAUUUAUGCUUGUAUGAUUGAUGCAUAUGGAAGAAAUGGGUGUUGGAAGGAAGCUAUCGAGCUCUUUUAGAGUAUGAGAGGAGGAUGGGUGAGGUGUUGCCGAAUUCUGUGACUUUUUUUAUCGUAUCAGCUUGUGAUCAAUUUGGGAUGGUGGAGGAAGGAAAAAAUGUUUCAAUGAUGAUGAGAGAGAUUGCAUUGACCAGAACGGAACACUAUGCAUGCUUCAUAGAUGUCUUAGGCCGAGCCGGUAAUAUAGAAGAAGUAUUGGUCUUUUAUCAAAAAUGAUUCAGCGCGGUACUAAACCAUUGCAGGAGUAUGGGAUACGUUGUUGAAUGCUUGAUCUCAGUCAAGAUUUUGAAGAGGCGAGUUUGCGCAAAGCUCUUUUUUGUUGGAUCCCGACAAAGCUAGCAAUAUUGUGCUGUAUCAAACUUUUAUGCAGCCUUGGUAGGUGGGAUGUUGUGAUGAUUGAGAAGCAUAAUGGGACAAAAGGGUUGUCAAGAAGCUGGGAAUAGCUGGAUCGGUGAGGGCUUCAAUGGACAUCAUAGGUCACUAUCUAUUGAUUGUUCAGCUAUACACCUAGCAAGUGAGACCUCACUCUGUUGGCGUGAUUGUUUCUAGUGAGAGUCAACCUGGAACUGGUUACAUGAAAGAA
Molecule: long non-coding RNA, 24002 nt
Filed under: Lathyrus oleraceus (garden pea)
Lineage: Eukaryota; Viridiplantae; Streptophyta; Magnoliopsida; Fabales; Fabaceae
Description: Pisum sativum (pea) long non-coding RNA (PSAT_LNC022104)
Source: RNAcentral